AUUGAACGCUAGCGGGAUGCUUUACACAUGCAAGUCGAACGGCAGCGCGGACUUCGGUCUGGCGGCGAGUGGCGGACGGGUGAGUAAUGUAUCGGAACGUGCCCAGUAGCGGGGGAUAACUACGCGAAAGCGUAGCUAAUACCGCAUACGCCCUACGGGGGAAAGCAGGGGAUCGUAAGACCUUGCACUAUUGGAGCGGCCGAUAUCGGAUUAGCUAGUUGGUGAGGUAACGGCUCACCAAGGCGACGAUCCGUAGCUGGUUUGAGAGGACGACCAGCCACACUGGGACUGAGACACGGCCCAGACUCCUACGGGAGGCAGCAGUGGGGAAUUUUGGACAAUGGGGGCAACCCUGAUCCAGCCAUCCCGCGUGUGCGAUGAAGGCCUUCGGGUUGUAAAGCACUUUUGGCAGGAAAGAAACGUCGCGGGCUAAUACCCCGUGGAACUGACGGUACCUGCAGAAUAAGCACCGGCUAACUACGUG
RNAcentral lists this ribosomal RNA (484 nucleotides) under uncultured bacterium. RNAcentral's name for it is "partial 16S ribosomal RNA". It matches the Rfam family "Bacterial small subunit ribosomal RNA", at positions 30 to 507 of the family's 1533-position model. The record is from RNAcentral.